RNAcentral lists this unclassified non-coding RNA (311 nucleotides) under Hymenogaster megasporus. RNAcentral's name for it is "sequence contains 5.8S rRNA gene". The stretch from base 1 to 53 matches the Rfam family "5.8S ribosomal RNA", at positions 102 to 154 of the family's 154-position model. Lineage: Eukaryota; Fungi; Basidiomycota; Agaricomycetes; Agaricales; Hymenogastraceae. The record is from RNAcentral.
GAACGCACCUUGCGCUCCUUGGUAUUCCGAGGAGCAUGCCUGUUUGAGUGUCAUUUAAUUCUCAACCUUAUUAGCUUUUGCCGAUAAUGGCUUGGAUGUGGGGGAUUAUUUUUUUGCUGGCUUCUUUCAGAGGUCAGCUCCCCUGAAAUGCAUUAGCUGGUUGCCCCGCGUGGACCGUCUAUUUGGUGUGAUAAUUAUCUACGCCGUGGAUGUCUGCAAUUGGUUUUGGCACUGCUUCUAACCGUCUAUUCAUUUGGACAAUACAUGACAAUUUGACCUCAAAUCAGGUAGGACUACCCGCUGAACUUAAG